CGCAAGGGGGCAUCCGUUGAGCGGGGACUAAUAUCAUGAUCCAUGCCCUGCAGUUCCUCUUUUAGAGCUUGGGUGGCGCCUUGUGCCUUGUUAUUCCGGCUCCCCCACUGUCUCCUUAGAACUCAGAAUCAUCAGUGCAGCGCACCUGUCUUCAAGCAGCACUGACGACUGCCCACAUUUAAUGCUUGUCAAGUCUUGCAGUCCUCGCCUGGGUAGUGACAGUAUUUUUUUUACUUACUGGCUGACUCUCGGACUUCUAUAUUUUGUGAUUCGAUUGUAAUUAUACUACAACCCACAUGGUACUCACGUGAUUUUGUUAUUCCCCAUCUCCAGUGUCUGUCCAAAUGGUGCCGACCUGGCAUUCCUUUUGUUCUCUUAACAUCUGUGGAGGAAGUGAAAGAGUUCACCAAUGUCAAAAAGGAAGAUGAGCAGUCCUUGAACAAAAUCCAACAGUUCCUUGGUGCGAGGAGGGAUCAGCAGUUAAAUUAAUGUCUGCUGGAGCAGAUGGGCCAUGCUUUUCUUUUCAGGUUUGAAAAGCAGAAGAAUAUGACCAACAAAUAGUUUAAAAAAGAAAAAAAAAGGUCCCCUGGCUAGGAAAGGAAGCCAGAAUGUCACUUCACGUCCUUUGGCCGUAACACAAGUGCACACACACACACACACGCAGACACAAAGACAAACACACAUGUCCAGAGGUUGACAUACAGUAUUUUACAUUAUAUCACAAAACUAAUUAGGGUGUGAUAAAUUGGGGGUAAAUGCACAUGACUGAACCAUAGGGGAUUUAUGAGAGAUCAUAUUUAACUUGUGGUUUCUUGAAUAAUCUUGCACAAAUUUAUUUGUACAUGACUUUCCAAAGAAUAAGAACAAUAGACCAAACAUGAGGACAAUGGCACUGUGUUGUUGCUGAAAAGAGGAGGGCCUAAAGGAUGAAACAGCUUAAAACAAGGUCUGAAACAUGUCAGUGAUUAUUGACAAUUAUUAUUCUGCAGCCAGUCUCGAGGACUCCAAGAUCAUGGUAGUAACACAAGGUUACAUAAUCACAACAGUUACUUUGCAAAUGGUAUAGCAACAAAAGAUGCAUACUGUAUGACUGAAAAAUAAAGGUUGACUGGGCUCUAUUUUUUAAUUAGGCCAUUCCACUGAAACAGUGAAACAGUGGUGUAAACAAACAAAAUCAACUUAAUUUUUCU
Long non-coding RNA from Syngnathoides biaculeatus (alligator pipefish), 1190 nucleotides. RefSeq lists it as uncharacterized. The transcript has 3 exons. NCBI's taxonomy places the organism in Eukaryota, Metazoa, Chordata, Actinopteri, Syngnathiformes, Syngnathidae. The record is from RefSeq and is a predicted model, not a curated record.